RNAcentral lists this ribosomal RNA (493 nucleotides) under uncultured bacterium. Its description in RNAcentral is "partial 16S ribosomal RNA". It matches the Rfam family "Bacterial small subunit ribosomal RNA", at positions 29 to 523 of the family's 1533-position model. The record is from RNAcentral.
AUUGAACGCUGGCGGCAUGCUUUACACAUGCAAGUCGAACGGUAACAGGUUAAGCUGACGAGUGGCGAACGGGUGAGUAAUGCAUCGGAACGAGCCCGGUCGUGGGGGAUAACGCAGCGAAAGCUGCGCUAAUACCGCAUACGAUCUAAGGAUGAAAGCGGGGGACCGUAAGGCCUCGCGCGAUCGGAGCGGCCGAUGUCAGAUUAGGUAGUUGGUGGGGUAAAGGCUCACCAAGCCAACGAUCUGUAGCUGGUCAGGGAGGACGACCAGCCACACUGGGACUGAGACACGGCCCAGACUCCUACGGGAGGCAGCAGUGGGGAAUUUUGGACAAUGGGCGAAAGCCUGAUCCAGCAAUGCCGCGUGCAGGAAGAAGGCCUUCGGGUUGUAAACUGCUUUUGUACGGAGCGAAAAGGUCUCCUCUAAUACAGGGGGCUCAUGACGGUACCGUAAGAAUAAGCACCGGCUAACUACGUGCCAGCAGCCGCCGUAA